AGAGUUUGAUCCUGGCUCAGGACGAACGCUGGCGGCGUGCCUAACACAUGCAAGUCGAGCGGAGACAGGGAGUAGCUUGCUACGAACUGUUUUAGCGGCGGACGGGUGAGUAACGCGUGAGCAACCUUUCCCAGACAGGGGAAUAACACACCGAAAGGUGUACUAAUACCGCAUAAGACCACGGAAUCACAUGGUUCUGAGGUAAAAGAUUUAUCGGUUUGGGGUGGGCUCGCGUCCGAUUAGGUAGUUGGUGAGGUAACGGCCCACCAAGCCGACGAUCGGUAGCCGACCUGAGAGGGUGAUCGGCCACAUUGGGACUGAGACACGGCCCAAACUCCUACGGGAGGCAGCAGUGGGGAAUAUUGGGCAAUGGAGGAAACUCUGACCCAGCAACGCCGCGUGGAGGAAGAAGGUUUUCGGAUCGUAAACUCCUGUCCUUGGAGACGAGUAGAAGACGGUAUCCAAGGAGGAAGCCCCGGCUAACUACGUGCCAGCAGCCGCGGUAAUACGUAGGGGGCAAGCGUUGUCCGGAAUAAUUGGGCGUAAAGGGCGCGUAGGCGGCUCGGUAAGUCUGGAGUGAAAGUCCUGCUUUUAAGGUGGGAAUUGCUUUGGAUACUGUCGGGCUUGAGUGCAGGAGAGGUUAGUGGAAUUCCCAGUGUAGCGGUGAAAUGCGUAGAGAUUGGGAGGAACACCAGUGGCGAAGGCGACUAACUGGACUGUAACUGACGCUGAGGCGCGAAAGUGUGGGGAGCAAACAGGAUUAGAUACCCUGGUAGUCCACACUGUAAACGGUGAAUGCUAGGUGUAGGGGGUAUCGACCCCUUCUGUGCCGCAGUCUACACAAUAAGCAUUCCGCCUGGGGAGUACGGCCGCAAGGUUGAAACUCAAAGGAAUUGACGGGGACCCGCACAAGCGGUGGAGCAUGUGGUUUAAUUCGAAGCAACGCGAAGAACCUUACCAAGUCUUGACAUCCUUCUGACAGAGUAUGUAAUGUACUUUCCCUUCGGGGCAGGAGUGACAGGUGGUGCAUGGUUGUCGUCAGCUCGUGUCGUGAGAUGUUGGGUUAAGUCCCGCAACGAGCGCAACCCUUAUCUUUAGUAGCCAGCGGUCAGGCCGGGCACUCUAGAGAGACUGCCAGGGAUAACCUGGAGGAAGGUGGGGAUGACGUCAAAUCAUCAUGCCCCUUAUGAGCAGGGCUACACACGUGCUACAAUGGCGUAAACAAAGGGAGGCAGAACCGCGAGGUCGAGCAAAUCCCAAAAAUAACGUCUCAGUUCGGAUUGUAGUCUGCAACUCGACUACAUGAAGCUGGAAUCGCUAGUAAUCGCGAAUCAGAAUGUCGCGGUGAAUACGUUCCCGGGUCUUGUACACACCGCCCGUCA
Molecule: ribosomal RNA, 1382 nt
Filed under: uncultured bacterium
Lineage: Bacteria
Description: bacterial SSU rRNA
Rfam family: Bacterial small subunit ribosomal RNA
Source: RNAcentral